CUAAAUUCCCCUGUAAAAUUAGGGUUUCUGCGCUUCUUGUGAGAGCAUUUGGGAAUUUGGAGAACAGCAAUGGUGAAGGGGAGGCAAGGCGAGCGCGUGAGACUCUACGUCCGCGGUACAAUCCUCGGAUACAAAAGGUCGAAGUCGAACCAGUAUCCAAACACGUCGUUGGUUCAGGUGGAAGGUGUGAACACGCAGGAGGAGGUGGCAUGGUACCUCGGGAAGAAAUUAGCCUACAUUUACAAAGCCAAAGUUAAGAAGAACGGCUCUCACUACCGCUGCAUCUGAUGCAUGGAAUUUGAGCUUGUUUUGUGAUUAUAAAUACUCAUUAUGGAAUGUCAAACCAGUUCUACGACUUAUAAUUUUGUUCUUGUUUGAAUCUGCUCCCAGUUGUGUUCUUAUUAGCAAUGGUUGUUAAUGUAGCUUACUUGUUGCUGUUUGGUAAAGUUUUGAUCUAAUUUGGCA
Long non-coding RNA from Salvia miltiorrhiza (redroot sage), 465 nucleotides. RefSeq lists it as uncharacterized. Lineage: Eukaryota; Viridiplantae; Streptophyta; Magnoliopsida; Lamiales; Lamiaceae. The transcript is spliced from 2 exons. The record is from RefSeq and is a predicted model, not a curated record.